GACGAACGCUGGCGGCGUGCCUAACACAUGCAAGUCGAACGGAGUGUUUAUUUAUAAAACACUUAGUGGCGAACGGGUGAGUAACGCGUAGACAACCUACCCUCUAGAUGGGGACAACACCGCGAAAGUGGUGCUAAUACCGAAUGUUGUAAUGUUAUUGCAUAAUGAUAUUACUAAAGGUGGUCUCUAUAUAAAAGCUACCGCUAGAAGAUGGGUCUGCGUCUGAUUAGCUAGUUGGUGAGAUAACAGCUCACCAAGGCAAUGAUCAGUAGCCGGUCUGAGAGGAUGAACGGCCACACUGGGACUGAGACACGGCCCAGACUCCUACGGGAGGCAGCAGUGGGGAAUCUUCCGCAAUGGACGAAAGUCUGACGGAGCAACGCCGCGUGAGUGAAGAAGGUUUUCGGAUCGUAAAGCUCUGUCCCCAAGGACGAAUGUAGAUAUUGUGAAUAAUGAUAUUUAAUGACGGUACUUGAGGAGGAAGCCACGGCUAACUACGUGCCAGCCGCCGCCGUAA
Molecule: ribosomal RNA, 517 nt
Filed under: uncultured bacterium
Lineage: Bacteria
Description: partial 16S ribosomal RNA
Rfam family: Bacterial small subunit ribosomal RNA
Source: RNAcentral